GAUGAACGCUGGCGGCGUGCUUAACACAUGCAAGUCGAACGAAGCACUUUAUUUGAUUUCCUUCGGGACUGAUUAUUUUGUGACUGAGUGGCGGACGGGUGAGUAACGCGUGGGUAACCUGCCUUGUACAGGGGGAUAACAGUUGGAAACGGCUGCUAAUACCGCAUAAGCGCACAGCAUCGCAUGAUGCAGUGUGAAAAACUCCGGUGGUAUAAGAUGGACCCGCGUUGGAUUAGCUAGUUGGUGAGGUAACGGCCCACCAAGGCGACGAUCCAUAGCCGACCUGAGAGGGUGACCGGCCACAUUGGGACUGAGACACGGCCCAAACUCCUACGGGAGGCAGUAGUGGGGAAUAUUGCACAAUGGGCGAAAGCCUGAUGCAGCGACGCCGCGUGAGCGAAGAAGUAUUUCGGUAUGUAAAGCUCUAUCAGCAGGGAAGAUAAUGACGGUACCUGACUAAGAAGCACCGGCUAAAUACGUG
Molecule: ribosomal RNA, 481 nt
Filed under: uncultured bacterium
Lineage: Bacteria
Description: partial 16S ribosomal RNA
Rfam family: Bacterial small subunit ribosomal RNA
Source: RNAcentral